RNAcentral lists this ribosomal RNA (722 nucleotides) under uncultured cyanobacterium. RNAcentral describes it as "bacterial SSU rRNA". It matches the Rfam family "Bacterial small subunit ribosomal RNA", at positions 39 to 805 of the family's 1533-position model. The record is from RNAcentral. Lineage: Bacteria; Bacillati; Cyanobacteriota.
GCGGUAUGCUUAACACAUGCAAGUCGAACGAAGCCUUCGGGUUUAGUGGCGGACGGGUGAGUAACGCGUGAGAACCUACCUUCAGGAUGGGGACAACAGAUGGAAACGUCUGCUAAUACCCAAUGAGCCGAGAGGUAAAAGAUUAAUUGUCUGAAGAAGGGCUCGCGUCGGAUUAGCUAGUUGGGGUGGUAACGGCACACCAAGGCGACGAUCCGUAGCUGGUCUGAGAGGAUGAUCAGCCACACUGGGACUGAGACACGGCCCAGACUCCUACGGGAGGCAGCAGUGGGGAAUUUUCCGCAAUGGGCGAAAGCCUGACGGAGCAAGACCGCGUGGGGGAAGAAGGCUCUUGGGUUGUAAACCCCUUUUCUCUGGGAAGAACGCAAUGACGGUACCAGAGGAAUCAGCAUCGGCUAACUCCGUGCCAGCAGCCGCGGUAAUACGGGGGAUGCAAGCGUUAUCCGGAAUUAUUGGGCGUAAAGCGUCCGCAGGUGGUUUUUCAAGUCUGCUGUUAAAGCGCAGAGCUUAACUCUGUAACGGCGGUGGAAACUGAGAGACUAGAGUAUGGUAGGGGUUGCGGGAAUUCCCAGUGUAGCGGUGAAAUGCGUAGAUAUUGGGAAGAACACCAGCGGCGAAAGCGCGCAACUGGGCCAUUACUGACACUCAUGGACGAAAGCUAGGGGAGCGAAAGGGAUUAGAUACCCCUGUAGUCCUAGCUGUAA